AUCUAAUAAACUGGAACAAAAGCAGCUUUAUUUUCAGCCUCAAGGUCAGAACCGACCCGUUUGAACAGCUGUCAAGGUCAGAACCGACCCGUUUGAACAGCUGUCAUCAACUCUGACACGUGACUGAGCCUCCCGGGCCACCGUCCUUAUCUCACAGACACACGUGAGUCUCUGAGGACGGACACAGACCGCUUUGCUUCAAGGGACAGGGUAACCAUUAUCAACAAGCAGAUGACAGACCUGACCGGUACCGGGCCUGGUACACAGACACACUCAGGUCCAAUCUGAUGGAGGUCUGGUGGAGGUCUGAUGGAGGUCUGAUGGAGGUCUGAUGGAGGUCUGUAGUACGUAGGUCUGACGUAGGUCAGAUGGAGGUCUGCAGUAUUUAGGUCUGAUGGAGGUCUGAUGGAGGUCUGCAGUACGUUGGUGUGACGUAGGUCUGACGUAGAUCUGUAGUACGUAGGUCUGACGUAGGUCUGACGUAGGUCUGAUGGAGAUCUGUAGUACAUAAGUCUUAAGUA
Fundulus heteroclitus (mummichog) is the source of this 521-nucleotide long non-coding RNA. RefSeq lists it as uncharacterized. The transcript is spliced from 3 exons. The record is from RefSeq and is a predicted model, not a curated record. Lineage: Eukaryota; Metazoa; Chordata; Actinopteri; Cyprinodontiformes; Fundulidae.